Long non-coding RNA from Photinus pyralis (common eastern firefly), 120 nucleotides. RefSeq lists it as uncharacterized. NCBI's taxonomy places the organism in Eukaryota, Metazoa, Arthropoda, Insecta, Coleoptera, Lampyridae. The transcript has 2 exons. The record is from RefSeq and is a predicted model, not a curated record.
UUAUAAGAAUAAUCGGUGUUAAAAGUGGUAUAUUUCCGUAACGAUGCCGCGGACCUAUAAAAGAAAGACUGAGAAAUCUUCUUGGUCUGCCGACGACCUACAAUCAGCUCUUACAGAACU